AUGAACGCUGGCGGCGUGCCUAAUACAUGCAAGUCGAGCGAACAGAUGAGGAGCUUGCUCCUCUGACGUUAGCGGCGGACGGGUGAGUAACACGUGGAUAACCUACCUAUAAGACUGGGAUAACUUCGGGAAACCGGAGCUAAUACCGGAUAAUAUAUUGAACCGCAUGGUUCAAUAGUGAAAGUCGGUUUUGCUGUCACUUAUAGAUGGAUCCGCGCCGCAUUAGCUAGUUGGUAAGGUAACGGCUUACCAAGGCAACGAUGCGUAGCCGACCUGAGAGGGUGAUCGGCCACACUGGAACUGAGACACGGUCCAGACUCCUACGGGAGGCAGCAGUAGGGAAUCUUCCGCAAUGGGCGAAAGCCUGACGGAGCAACGCCGCGUGAGUGAUGAAGGUCUUCGGAUCGUAAAACUCUGUUAUUAGGGAAGAACAAAUGUGUAAGUAACUAUGCACGUCUUGACGGUACCUAAUCAGAAAGCCACGGCUAACUACGUG
RNAcentral lists this ribosomal RNA (496 nucleotides) under uncultured bacterium. RNAcentral's name for it is "partial 16S ribosomal RNA". It matches the Rfam family "Bacterial small subunit ribosomal RNA", at positions 29 to 507 of the family's 1533-position model. The record is from RNAcentral.